Molecule: transfer RNA, 77 nt
Filed under: Candidatus Paraimprobicoccus trichonymphae
Lineage: Bacteria; Bacillati; Bacillota; Clostridia
Description: tRNA-Arg
Rfam family: tRNA
About the family: Transfer RNA (tRNA) molecules are approximately 80 nucleotides in length.
Source: RNAcentral
GUGUUAGUAGCUCAGUAGGAUAGAGCAACUGCCUUCUAAGCAGUAGGUCAGGGGUUCGAAUCCCUUCUAGCACACCA